GGAGAGGUACCGAAGUGGUCAUAACGGGGGCGCCUCGAAAGCGCUUAGGGGCGGUGACGCCCCACGCGGGUUCGAAUCCCGCCCUCUCCGCCA
RNAcentral lists this transfer RNA (93 nucleotides) under Acidobacteriota bacterium. Its description in RNAcentral is "Acidobacteria bacterium tRNA-Ser". It matches the Rfam family "tRNA". From Rfam's summary of the family: Transfer RNA (tRNA) molecules are approximately 80 nucleotides in length. Their secondary structure includes four short double-helical elements and three loops (D, anti-codon, and T loops). RNAcentral also lists the same sequence under 2 other names. The record is from RNAcentral. Lineage: Bacteria; Pseudomonadati; Acidobacteriota.